CCUACGGGAGGCAGCAGUGAGGAAUAUUGGUCAAUGGGCGAGAGCCUGAACCAGCCAAGUCGCGUGAGGGAAGACGGUCCUACGGAUUGUAAACCUCUUUUGUCAGGGAGCAAGGAGCGCCACGAGUGGUGCGGCGAGAGUACCUGAAGAAAAAGCAUCGGCUAACUCCGUGCCAGCAGCCGCGGUAAUACGGAGGAUGCGAGCGUUAUCCGGAUUUAUUGGGUUUAAAGGGUGCGUAGGCGGUCCGUUAAGUCAGCGGUAAAAUUGCGGGGCUCAACCCCGUCGAGCCGUUGAAACUGGCAGACUUGAGUUGGCGAGAAGUACGCGGAAUGCGCGGUGUAGCGGUGAAAUGCAUAGAUAUCGCGCAGAACUCCGAUUGCGAAGGCAGCGUACCGGCGCCAGACUGACGCUGAGGCACGAAAGCGUGGGGAUCGAACAGGAUUAGAUACCCUUGUAGUC
Molecule: ribosomal RNA, 459 nt
Filed under: uncultured bacterium
Lineage: Bacteria
Description: partial 16S ribosomal RNA
Rfam family: Bacterial small subunit ribosomal RNA
Source: RNAcentral